GGAGGGGUGUCCGAGUGGUUUAAGGUGGCAGACUCGAAAUCUGUUAUGGUGUCAAAGCCAUCGGGGGUUCGAAUCCCCCCCUCUCCG
RNAcentral lists this transfer RNA (87 nucleotides) under Moorena producens 3L. RNAcentral's name for it is "Moorea producens 3L tRNA-Ser". It matches the Rfam family "tRNA". From Rfam's summary of the family: Transfer RNA (tRNA) molecules are approximately 80 nucleotides in length. The record is from RNAcentral. Lineage: Bacteria; Bacillati; Cyanobacteriota; Cyanophyceae; Coleofasciculales; Coleofasciculaceae. RNAcentral also lists the same sequence under 27 other names.